This 833-nucleotide long non-coding RNA is filed under the name Cyanistes caeruleus (blue tit). RNAcentral describes it as "lncRNA (ENSCCEG00000013121.1)". Lineage: Eukaryota; Metazoa; Chordata; Aves; Passeriformes; Paridae. The record is from RNAcentral.
GUUACAGUAACUGCACAGGACCUGGAAAGGAAAGCUCUCUAUUUAUAGUUUAGUAAAUCAGAAACCUACAUGGUAACGCUUCUUGUAAUUCAACAAUGGACUUUUAAUAAUGUAAACAGAGGAAUUAAAUCUAAAAUAGCAUUGAUUUUAGUUGAAGGGAAAAUAUGUAAAGAUGAUGAAGUCAAUGAAAACCUGCCUGUUCACACUAGGUAGACCUUAUUUUUGAAAAAAUAAAAAAUAAAAAAUUGUAUGACAUUCUUUUUCCGAGUGGAGUGUCAUACUCAUUAUUGUCCUUUUUUAUUCACUAGUGUUGUUGUUAAUGCAAGUUCUCUGUCUGUCUUCACAGUUCAGCAGCUUGUUUAGCAGAUCACUACAGAUGCUCCAGGUUUGGCUCAGAGAUGUUUUCCAAACAGGGUCAUUACUGUCCUUAUCUUUGGCCUGCAAAAGGAGAAACAACCAAGAAAUGCUGAAAGCAGGAAAAUCUGCUGCAUUCCAAAGUCUUGGGGAAUGGAAGAAUCAGUGACAUGGUAAUGGGUGGACUGUUCACCUGCUCCUUGACAACAAUUCCUGCAUUUUCACCUAUGAAGCUACUAACAAGAAGAAAACGGAUAAAGUUCCAGGAAAUUUGUCUCAUGAGGAUUAGACAUGCUGCCAUCUGCAAUACAGACAUUUCUAUCAGCGGAUAUGGCCAGGAAAACCUGCUGUUUAGCUAUUUUUCAGGCCAGGACUCGGAGCAAGCUCAGGGGAGUCUGCUGAGCACAGGCCACAGUGGAGCCAUUCAAGGAGCACUGUCCCGCAGUGAUAUGACAUCAACAGGAACUUACCAGGAGAAU